AUGAACGCUGGCGGCGUGCCUAAUCCAUGCAAGUCGAGCGAACGGACGAGAAGCUUGCUUUUCUGAUGUUAGCGGCGGACGGGUGAGUAACACGUGGAUAACCUACCUAUAAGACUGGGAUAACUUCGGGAAACCGGAGCUAAUACCGGAUAAUAUUUUGAACCGCAUGGUUCAAAAGUGAAAGACGGUCUUGCUGUCACUUAUAGAUGGAUCCGCGCUGCAUUAGCUAGUUGGUAAGGUAACGGCUUACCAAGGCAACGAUGCAUAGCCGACCUGAGAGGGUGAUCGGCCACACUGGAACUGAGACACGGUCCAGACUCCUACGGGAGGCAGCAGUAGGGAAUCUUCCGCAAUGGGCGAAAGCCUGGCGGAGCAACGCCGCGUGAGUGAUGAAGGUCUUCGGAUCGUAAAACUCUGUUAUUAGGGAAGAACAUAUGUGUAAGUAACUGUGCACAUCUUGACGGUACCUAAUCAGAAAGCCACGGCUAACUACGUG
RNAcentral lists this ribosomal RNA (496 nucleotides) under uncultured bacterium. Its description in RNAcentral is "partial 16S ribosomal RNA". It matches the Rfam family "Bacterial small subunit ribosomal RNA", at positions 29 to 507 of the family's 1533-position model. The record is from RNAcentral.